Molecule: ribosomal RNA, 922 nt
Filed under: Flavobacterium johnsoniae
Lineage: Bacteria; Pseudomonadati; Bacteroidota; Flavobacteriia; Flavobacteriales; Flavobacteriaceae
Description: bacterial SSU rRNA
Rfam family: Bacterial small subunit ribosomal RNA
Source: RNAcentral
CUUGAGACCGGCGCACGGGUGCGUAACGCGUAUGCAAUCUGCCUUCCACAGAGGGAUAGCCCAGAGAAAUUUGGAUUAAUACCUCAUAGCAUCAUGACCCGGCAUCGGGAUAUGAUUAAAGUCACAACGGUGGAAGAUGAGCAUGCGUCCCAUUAGCUAGUUGGUAAGGUAACGGCUUACCAAGGCUACGAUGGGUAGGGGUCCUGAGAGGGAGAUCCCCCACACUGGUACUGAGACACGGACCAGACUCCUACGGGAGGCAGCAGUGAGGAAUAUUGGUCAAUGGGCGCAAGCCUGAACCAGCCAUGCCGCGUGCAGGAUGACGGUCCUAUGGAUUGUAAACUGCUUUUGUACGGGAAGAAACCCUCCUACGUGUAGGAGCUUGACGGUACCGUAAGAAUAAGGAUCGGCUAACUCCGUGCCAGCAGCCGCGGUAAUACGGAGGAUCCAAGCGUUAUCCGGAAUCAUUGGGUUUAAAGGGUCUGUAGGCGGUCUUGUAAGUCAGUGGUGAAAGCCCAUCGCUCAACGGUGGAACGGCCAUUGAUACUGCUGGACUUGAAUUAUUGGGAAGCAACUAGAAUAUGUAGUGUAGCGGUGAAAUGCUUAGAGAUUACAUGGAAUACCAAUUGCGAAGGCAGGUUGCUACCAAUGGAUUGACGCUGAUGGACGAAAGCGUGGGUAGCGAACAGGAUUAGAUACCCUGGUAGUCCACGCCGUAAACGAUGGAUACUAGCUGUUGGGCGCAAGUUCAGUGGCUAAGCGAAAGUGAUAAGUAUCCCACCUGGGGAGUACGAACGCAAGUUUGAAACUCAAAGGAAUUGACGGGGGCCCGCACAAGCGGUGGAGCAUGUGGUUUAAUUCGAUGAUACGCGAGGAACCUUACCAAGGCUUAAAUGCAGACUGACCGGUUUGGAAACAGACC